GGACUACUGGGGUAUCUAAUCCUGUUUGCUACCCACGCUUUCGUGUCUCAGCGUCAGUUACGGUCCAGAAAGCCGUCUACACCACCGGUGUUCCUCCUGAUAUCUACGCAUUUCACCGCUACACCAGGAAUUCCACUUUCCUCUCCCGCACUCCAAGUCCCUCAGUAUUCGGCGCACCCUCCCGGUUGAGCCGGGAGAUUUCACACCAAACUUAAAGAACCGCCUACACACCCUUUACGCCCAGUAACUCCGAACAACGCUCGCUGCCUACGUAUUACCGCGGCUGCUGGCAC
RNAcentral lists this ribosomal RNA (293 nucleotides) under uncultured Acidobacteriota bacterium. RNAcentral's name for it is "uncultured Acidobacteria bacterium partial 16S ribosomal RNA". Lineage: Bacteria; Pseudomonadati; Acidobacteriota. The record is from RNAcentral.